Long non-coding RNA from Sarcophilus harrisii (Tasmanian devil), 502 nucleotides. RefSeq lists it as uncharacterized. NCBI's taxonomy places the organism in Eukaryota, Metazoa, Chordata, Mammalia, Dasyuromorphia, Dasyuridae. The transcript is spliced from 4 exons. The record is from RefSeq and is a predicted model, not a curated record.
CUUCCUCCUCACCUGACACGGCCAGCGGAGCCCACGCCCCUUCUCCACGCUCCCCGGGCCACCUCCACGUCAGGGGUCCCGCCGCAGGGAUCUUGUCUGCACUGGGUGACACAGUGGAAAAAGCACUGGACUUGGGAAAAAGAAAAGUUUGGACUUUAAAUACUCGCUCGAUAUUUACCAGAUAUUUUUACAAGGGUGACUCUGCUCUGAACAGUCCUGCCUGGAUGUUUUUCCUAGAACCUUAUGUAUCUGUAAUCUUACAAACUGAAAGUUUUCAUGACUUAGGAAGGAGCUCAAUCUCUACAACUUUUCCAUCUGUGACAUCAAGGAUCUUUCAAAGGUCAAAGUACAUACAAGACCAUGAGGACCAAACCUCAAGUGCACUGCAGUGAUUUCCACAAGAACUGAAAGAAUAUAAUAGUCACAUUCUGAGAACUGGAUGGGAUCUCAAAUGUCCACGAGUCUAAUUCUCUUACUUUAAAAUAAAGCUGAUGCUCAGAAA